UUUAAAAAGCAAGUUAAAAGUAUUUCAUCAGAAUUUUAUUGUGAAAGAUCAAGUUGGAAGUAUUUCAUCGGUGUUUUACUGUGAAAGGUUAAAAAGGAUCUGCUUUGCAUUGUGGGACAGAGAUGCUCAUAUGUACACACGCAGAGAGAAGCAGACACAUGGUGACAGCAUUCCUCCUGUUACGUUUUUUCCUACACCCGCGAAAGCAAUGGCUUUUCACUCAUAAGUUUUCACCUGUCAUCCAUGAGAUGCUAAUAAAGGAGCAAGGCGCUCGCUUCCUGGCUCGUGAAAACCGA
Long non-coding RNA from Acanthochromis polyacanthus (spiny chromis), 296 nucleotides. RefSeq lists it as uncharacterized. The transcript has 2 exons. The record is from RefSeq and is a predicted model, not a curated record. Lineage: Eukaryota; Metazoa; Chordata; Actinopteri; Pomacentridae.